Molecule: RNA transcript, 1259 nt
Organism: Corapipo altera (White-ruffed manakin)
Lineage: Eukaryota; Metazoa; Chordata; Aves; Passeriformes; Pipridae
Exons: 6
Source: RefSeq, a predicted model, not a curated record
CACCCUGAGGAUGUGGAGCAGGUCCAGCCCCUGCAGGAGGAUCCAGGCCAAGACUGAACAGAGGAGCAGGACCGCGCCCGGGGCCGCUUCCGCAGGGCAGCACAGAUGGUUUUGGAAUUCACCAGGUGCAUUUGGAGGGAAGAGACCAUUGCCAUGGUCACUGGGGGCACGGCAAACUCUGACCUCCACAAUGCUGAAACCAGUGCUGUCCUGCUGGAUUUGCUCAUGGAAAAUGGUGCCUCCAAUCCCAAGAAAGUGCCAACCUUCGUGAGGUGCAUCCACUGGUGGCUCAUGUUCAGUGUGUCUCCUGAGCACAGGUUAGACAAGACUCUUCUGGAUCUGGCCGAGGCACACCCCGUGGAUGUGAUGCUGUGCUCUGCCCCAUCAUGUGACAGGUUGCUGUGGCUUUGUCACCUGGGACUGGGAGCUGCCUAGGCCGUGGCACUGUGGCUUAGACCCUGCUGACACAGAGUUUGACCCUGCAGAGCUGCUGCGACCGUGUGGAGGACGAUCAUCUUCUCAAGUCGGACUGCACAGUCGGUGCUCAAGAUACUUGCCCUUGUCCUGGGAAGCUGGCCAGCACGCAGCAUGUGCACCUCUGAUGGGGAUGAAACAGAUGUCUUUGCCCUGGCUAUGAGUUUCUGGAACUGGACUUUGCUCACUCCCGCAUCACCUCCAGGGCAGUUCUUCAUCCUCCCCCAGCACUGCAUCUCCCUGCCUCAGGCACUGGGCUGGAAACCUGGGUUAGGGGCAGGUUCAGGGGCACCAGGCCAGGUGCUCCUCCUGUGUCUCCCCUGGCCUCUCUCUCCCGCGCUCGGGCCUUGCCACGUGGAUGUCUCAGCACUGAGCGCUGUCUCCAGAUGUUUUACUCUUUUGCAGGCAAACGUGAUGCUGUGGACGAUCCUCCAGCUGUCCUGGUGCCCACGUACAGUGAGGGAGUGUUUCCCCAGCCUCUUUGUGCCUCUUCCAAGUGUUCUUCAACGCAGUGCAUAGGCUGGAGGAGGACGACGCCUUCUGGAGGGAAUGCCAGGACCAACACAGCCUUCCCACCAACCCCAACAGGUUUGCAGUGCUGACCAUCAAAGCCCUGCUGCGCCAUCUGCGGUGUGAGGGUGUGGUGAUGGCACUGGAACGCAAGCGUGGCUGGGACACGCUGCUCAACGCCGACACCCACCACUACGCAGUGGGUCUGCUGGCCAGGUGAGACCCCCUUGUCCCCACUGCCCCUGUCAAUUCUGCCUGUGCAUGGGGCACCACAC